AAAGUAGCUUAGCUUGGUAAAGCGCUUGGCUUGGGACCAAGAGACCGCAGGUUCAAAUCCUGUCUUU
RNAcentral lists this transfer RNA (67 nucleotides) under uncultured Anaeroplasma sp. It matches the Rfam family "tRNA". Rfam says of the family: Transfer RNA (tRNA) molecules are approximately 80 nucleotides in length. Their secondary structure includes four short double-helical elements and three loops (D, anti-codon, and T loops). Further hydrogen bonds mediate the characteristic L-shaped molecular structure. tRNAs have two regions of fundamental functional importance: the anti-codon, which is responsible for specific mRNA codon recognition, and the 3' end, to which the tRNAs corresponding amino acid is attached (by aminoacyl-tRNA synthetases). tRNAs cope with the degeneracy of the genetic code in two manners: having more than one tRNA (with a specific anti-codon) for a particular amino acid; and 'wobble' base-pairing, i.e. permitting non-standard base-pairing at the 3rd anti-codon position. Lineage: Bacteria; Bacillati; Mycoplasmatota; Mollicutes; Anaeroplasmatales; Anaeroplasmataceae. The record is from RNAcentral.